Aquila chrysaetos chrysaetos is the source of this 872-nucleotide long non-coding RNA. RefSeq lists it as uncharacterized. The record is from RefSeq and is a predicted model, not a curated record. NCBI's taxonomy places the organism in Eukaryota, Metazoa, Chordata, Aves, Accipitriformes, Accipitridae. The transcript has 2 exons.
UCUCCUUUAUGUGUGUGCUGUGCUAUUGUCAGCACGUUUCUUUGCUGAAACGUGGAAAGCUCAGUCAUGCUGUCAAGCUGUGUGGCCAGUGCAGCCCACCAAAAUGAUCUCUAGGGCUGGUCUCCAGGAUCCGAAGGCUUGUUUAGUGGCUGUUGCAGUAGUAAGCAGGGAGGUCUUGAUGGAUGAGGGAGGCAGGUGUUCUGAGGUCUCAGUUUAUACCUGGCUCUACUGCAGCACAGCGCUGCCCAAGGCUGCAUUUGCAGCUGCUGGAGCUGCUUCUGUGCUUGAGGUGCUGUGUCUGUAAAUUCAGCACAGAGUGUGAGUGAGGCUGAUCCUCGCUAGAGAAGGGGAAACAAAAAGUUUGAAGAGCAGCUGAAGGUUGUUAACAACACUUUUCACUUCUGUGUUCUCUCCUUUGUUUUGCGAGUCUGUAAUUGAACCCAUAGGGGUGACUCUGCUCUUGGGUGAGAGAAUCUGUGACGUGGGAAUGGAGGAAGAUGGGAGAGACUCAUGGGGAAGGAAGGGUGUGAGAAAGCAAGAGGGAAGAGAGGAACCUUCCCUGGGAUGUGCAGCCAUCACAGCUUGGGCUGCAGGUCAGUGGCUGUGAGCUGACCCAAGACUGCUGUCAACAUAUUGGUGUCCCAAUGCCUGUCCCUUAGCCCUCCGAUCUCUCAUCCUGCACCUCCCUGUGUACUCUCUGCUGCCAGUGGCAAUUGUUUGACCUGCUCCACUUGUUAAAACAAGAGGAAAUUCUUGGUUUUGGCUGGCACCUAUUUCCCUACCAGUUCAGCAGUGUAAAACAGCACAAGUGUGGGUCUGAUGGCAAAAGUAAGCCCUGACAUUGACUGAGCUCUUCCACUGCCUCUCACAGG